UACGGAGGGUGCAAGCGUUGUCCGGAUUUAUUGGGUUUAAAGGGUGCGUAGGUGGCCUGUUAAGUCAGUGGUGAAAUACAGCCGCUCAACGGUUGAGGUGCCAUUGAUACUGAUAGGCUUGAAGUGGGUAGAGGCUGCCGGAAUGGAUGGUGUAGCGGUGAAAUGCAUAGAUAUCAUCCAGAACACCGAUUGCGAAGGCAGGUGGCUAUGUCCAACUUGACACUGAGGCACGAAAGCAUGGGGAGCAAACAGG
Molecule: unclassified non-coding RNA, 253 nt
Filed under: uncultured Cytophagales bacterium
Lineage: Bacteria; Pseudomonadati; Bacteroidota; Sphingobacteriia; Sphingobacteriales
Description: contains 16S-23S intergenic spacer region
Rfam family: Bacterial small subunit ribosomal RNA
Source: RNAcentral